GAGUUUGAUCGUGGCUCAGAUUGAACGCUGGCGGCAUGCCUUACACAUGCAAGUCGAACGGCAGCAUGAUCUAGCUUGCUAGAUUGAUGGCGAGUGGCGAACGGGUGAGUAAUACAUCGGAACGUGCCCUGUAGUGGGGGAUAACUAGUCGAAAGAUUAGCUAAUACCGCAUACGACCUGAGGGUGAAAGUGGGGGACCGCAAGGCCUCAUGCUAUAGGAGCGGCCGAUGUCUGAUUAGCUAGUUGGUGGGGUAAAGGCCCACCAAGGCGACGAUCAGUAGCUGGUCUGAGAGGACGAUCAGCCACACUGGGACUGAGACACGGCCCAGACUCCUACGGGAGGCAGCAGUGGGGAAUUUUGGACAAUGGGGGCAACCCUGAUCCAGCAAUGCCGCGUGUGUGAAGAA
RNAcentral lists this ribosomal RNA (407 nucleotides) under uncultured microorganism. Its description in RNAcentral is "bacterial SSU rRNA". It matches the Rfam family "Bacterial small subunit ribosomal RNA", at positions 9 to 412 of the family's 1533-position model. The record is from RNAcentral.